UCGAAUCCGGUGGGCGGGGCCCCGGCCGGGUUGCAGCGACCAAUCAGGGCGCGGCCUUUGCCGCGGGAGAUCCGAAUUUCGCGGCACGUCGUUUGGCGCUUAAAAAAAAAAAAAAAAAAAAAAGAAAAGAAAAGAAAGAAACCAGCGAGCGGCGCCGAGAGCCGCGGGAGACGGGGCGAGAACCGGGGCCGCUCCGCAGCCAUCGCCCCCGCUGCAAUCCGGCCCCAUCCCGGCCCCGGCCCGCUGCAGCCCCGCCGGGAGGGAGCCGAGCCGCGGCCGCCAGCUUUGCAAGGGGGAGCCGCUCCAUGAGAGACAGUGGCGGGGCCUCGGCCGGAUCCAGGGCCCGGGCUGGGGGCGCAGCUCCCCCUGGCUUGAUGCUGCUCAGCCCCCCCGCGCUGGGGGCCUCGGGCGAAGGGGCCGCCAAAGCAGAGAUUUAGGGGGGUGAUUUUAUGAUUAUUAUUAUUAUUAUUAUUUUUAAAUGCAACACGCUCGGGUGGGGGUCGAUCCGCUCUCUGGGAGCGGAAAGUCACCAGCCCCUGCAAUAACCUGCACGUUACCCGGCUCCUGCAAGCUGAGGCUCGGGUCAGUGACCUGGCAUCUGAGCCCUGCAAAGCCCCGGUCCCCUUAGGACAGACAGUAACUUUUAAUUGUCUGUGUUUUUAUAAAACAGCCGGCUGCAAAUUCUGGCCGGCCGGGUAAAGGAUCUUCCACGAAGAAAGGAGGGGGUUCGAGCUUUCUGUCUGAAUGAGGAGAGAGAAAGGAAACAGUCAUUUUUAUUCUGGGGCUGGUUUAGUGAUUUUCCCCUCCCUUCCCCCCAAAUGCAUUUUAGCAAAAAUUCCAGCUUGAUUUUUUUUUUUUUUGAGACAGCCUCAGACUGGAAAGUGGGGGCCAUUCACUGAUCCUGCAUGCUAUGCCCUGUGUUAAAUGGCUGGGCAAUGCUAGGAUCAGCCUCCGACCCCUCCGUCUACCCUCCAUGUCUCAACUGCAGCUUGGUUUUUAAGCACCCCCCUUAAAGCUGUGCAAGUGCAACAUUUCUGCCCUCCCUUCCCUGCCAGCUGGGCUUCUCGGAAAGGACUUUGCAAUGCUGAGAGUCAAGGGAGUGUCUUCAGCCCCAGAAAGGGGGGGCUGUUCCCUUGCCUCUCUCCCCCAGCAGCAGCAGCAGCAAAAGAAAGUCAUGCCUGUGAUGAGCUCUGCAGACUUGGUGACUUCCAGCCUCAGCAGCCCUCAGAUGCACUCCAUCCCGGCCAGCUACUUCACGCAGCUGUACCCUCAGAGUGUGGCUACUGCCCCUGCACCCAGGGGCAGUUGUCUCUACGCUACCCCUCAUGGACCUGAAAUCAGAACCAUCCGAUCUGCCUCUGCAGGAAGGCUGCCGGCCAAAAGGAAGCUGGAUCUGGAAGGGACCGGCCAGCCGGGCAUCCCAGAAUUCCGGACGCCCAAGGGGAAGAGCAGGACAGUCGCUCGAAUCCCCAGCCCCAAGACCCCCAAGUCGCCUGGGGAGAAGACACGGUACGACACCUCCCUGGGGCUGCUGACCAAGAAGUUCAUCCACCUGCUGAGCGAGUCGGAGGAUGGGGUGCUGGACCUGAACCGGGCAGCCGAGGUGCUGGAGGUGCAGAAGCGCCGGAUCUACGACAUCACCAACGUGCUGGAAGGGAUUCAGCUCAUCCGGAAGAAAUCCAAGAACAACAUCCAGUGGAUGGGCACAGGAAUUUUCGAGGACACCUCUGUGACGGUGAAGCAUCAGUCCCUGUGCCAAGAGCUGGCGGAGCUGGCCAAGACCGAGAGAACUUUAGACGAGCGCAUCCAGGACUGCACCCUCCAGCUGAAGCACCUGACAGAGGACGAGACUAACCAGAGAUUAGCAUAUGUCACCUACCAGGACAUCCGCUCCAUCAGCAACUUCCAGGAGCAGACGGUGAUAGCGGUCAAGGCCCCCCCGGAAACCAAGCUGGAGGUGCCGGACUUCAAUGAGGAGAACGUGCAGCUCCACCUGAAGAGCACCAACGGCCCCAUCGAGGUGUACCUGUGCCCCGAGGAGAUCCUGGAGGACAGCCCUGCCAAGGAGAGCAGCUUCCCCACCCCCUCCCUUCAGGACAGCAGCGACGGCACCGACCCCUCCCCAGGGAAAGCUGAGCCCCUGAUGGAGGUGGAGGAUGGACUCCUGGACAUGCCCCAUCACCUGCUGCAGCAGACGGAGGACCAGCUGCCCUAUGGUGACCCCGCCCCCUUUGUCAGCUUCUCCCCACCCCUCGACCAGGACGACUACCUGUGGGGGCUGGAGGGGGGCGAGGGAGUGAGCGACCUCUUUGAGGCCUAUGACCUUGGUGACCUACUGAAGAACUGAGCCGGCAAGGGGGCCCCUCUCCCUCCUUGCUAUGGUGCUAACGGCCUUGCUGGAGUCCGGGGCUCUGACUUGAAGCGUGGACUCCGAGCCCCUGCCCUCCUGGCCACCAGAGCAGGGGCAUGGAGACCUCCUGUGGGGCAGGGCUUCCUCCCGCUCUUCCCUACCCAUGCGUGAUCUCCACAGCUCCUCCUCCACUCUUCCUUGCUGCUGGGGCCAGCACAGACUGGGCGUAGCAGUCAGUGCAAUGCAAGACCCUAGAGGGCAACCUGGGGAAGAGUCUCCCACCACGUGCCCUAAGAACCUACUGCAGGAAUGGAGCGCCUUUGCCCAUUUAUCUUUUUCCCUGCCCCACGCACACGCCGGUAACACGUUCCUGGCCUGUCCAGGAAUGCUGGGGCUGGGCAAGGAGCCCCUGGGAGACUGGGUCUCUGUCAUGGAGAGCGAAUCUUCUCAUCCUGCCCCCGAAGCGACCCAUCUGCAGAACACACAGGGCGGCUAUGUCUGGGGGGCGGAGGGGGAGUGGAAUGCUCUGUGGUCUGCCAGGGGAUUUGCGUGACGGGGCAAGAGAUCCCGUUCCCUGAAAUCUGGGCAGGGUGGGGGAUGCGUGCGCUUGUGUGAAUGAAGAAAUCCUUCAGCUCCUGCAGCUGCUUGGGGGCCCCGAAGGGAUCUGUGACGGCAGCGCAGCUGCGGGACACUUGUCUGUUUCGCUCUGCCAGGCCCGGGCAGCCCCUUUGGAUCUGACCCAGAUGGGUCUUGCUUCCCCCUCCCUGAAUGUUUUGCUUGGAGCGUACGGGGUCCGAGCCAACCCAGAAACCCCGAGUGAAACCUGGUUUGUAAUUGCAGCCAUCAGGUGGCUUUUGAUGUGAACAGUCAGCGGAGAAUGCCUCCUUAGGGCCAUGGCCUCUAGGGGGACUUACCAGGGACCUGCUCUGACAUCUUCUAAUGAAACUUGAAACAAAGCGAGUCCGGGGUGGAGGGCGUGGUGAGACAGGGACUCGCCUGCCCACUCACCUGUGAUGGGAGGGAUUCCAACUGCAUCUCCUCCUUCCCCUUCGACUGACCCUAGGCCCCACCCUCUCCCCUCCGUCCUCUCACUGAAAUGCCUGGCUGCCUUCGCUCUCCGUGGGUCACUUGGAUCUGCUCCAUCUAGACUGGUGCCAAGCGACCUGCUCCGUUGCAGGCUGCUGUGAGGGUCACAUGUAUCCAGUAAAUGGGCUGUUGUUCCCAUGUGAGCCCCUGAGUCCUUCCCGAUUGGAUCAGCCCUUCUCUAAAUUCUUUGUUGGCUUAGCGUGGGAUCCGUUUCAUAGAGUGGGAGGAACCCCAAGUGCCACAAGCUGGGCUGGGUCCCCUAGGAGACCAACUGCCCCGACCCCUUCUCCUUCCAUGGUAGAUUCUGGGAACAGGGUGGAUUAAAUUUGGGAUUGCCGGGGUAGCGUAAGAGAGGUCUGAAUGACCCGUGCACAUGCGCUGUGCCUUGUAAAAACCAGGCCGUUAACCUUCACUGUGCGUCCUGUGAGGCGGGACUAAUACCCACGUCCAUGUCGUGCUUUGGGAUCCUCAGGGACAGGGUCUCAGCGGCGAGAUCUGGACCAUUAUCCAAGCCCCCUGAAACAGAAUGGCGUUUGGCUUGCAGACCACUCUGGUUCACCAAGGUCCUGGUGCUGGUUGCUUAUUGACUUGCUGCUUUCUGAUUGGCUUGGUGCAUGUCAUGCUUCGGCCAAUCAGAGACCAAUCAUCUGCACACCAUGAAACGCACACCUGAUCAGCUGCAAUUUAAACUUAAAUCUGCUAGUGGGGCAUUUAGUGUGAAAAUGGUCAAAUAUGGGGGCCGAGCGCUAUGCGCCUACAUGAAUAUUUAUGCAGCUCAUUGUGGCUUGAUUUUUUUUAUUUGAGGUGCUGAGCGAGCACCGCUCCCUCUUUAAAAUCAAGCCACUCAGAGGUGCCUAACAAUGUGGAUUUGGGUGGCGAACCUGAGCUACCGGAGUUCAGAAAUUUUGAUCUAAUCUUACUUUAUUUUCACUCAUUGCCAGAUUUUGAGAAUCUCACUAGGUGCUUCUCUGCAUUUUUAGGGACCUAAAUUCCUCUGAAAAUUUGGCCUGUAAUGACGAGUGGCUCCACCAUGUCGCAACCUUGUUAGCCGCAGAUUCCAUUGUCAGUAGUUUUUUGCAAAAUUCCAGAGGGGAAGGGGAAGGUAGCUUUUUAUUUCACUCUGUCCAAAAUUCAUCCCUCCAGAAAGGCUGGUUUGGAUUUCCAGGUUUUCAAUAUUUGCACAAUAGCUAUUGGUUCACGGGUGGGGAAUUUUGUCAUGUGACAUCCCAUUAAAUUCUGUCUUAAAAAUGGAAACAAGCACAUUUUCUUAACCCCUUCUUGAAUGCAGCUUCUCCCUGCCUGGGGAGAAUGCCAGACAGAGCCUGCAAUGGAUGCUGGGUGGGUCGCAUCCCAUUCAUAUCUGCCCAGUGGCUCUCCCUGCAGGACUGGGGCCUGAGGUAUUGUAGCCAAAAUGUCCACUGAAGCUAACAUUAAACACUUGGUUGGCUUUUAAUCUAGCAAAGGGGUUUAAUGCUGCCCGGAUACUAUGGUGAUGGGUGGCACCUUCCACAUAAAAUCAAUAGCUAAGUCCUCAUGGAGUCUCUGACACGUCUCCCUGUUUGGGGGUGAAACCUCUGCUUGGGGGAAGGGUUUUGAUUUUGUUAAUUUGCCCCCCUUUGUGUGUGUGUUUGGGCAUUGGGAUGGAAGGGGGAUGUCAGUGCAGAGUCAUUCUCAUGGUCAGAUGCUGGAUUCAGCUGAUCUCUGUUCUUACCGACCCCGCCUUGGAGCUCCCCCAUCUAGUGUCCCCGUCUAGAGAAUGGGAACUCCCCAAAAUGGGGUGUGAAGAGCUGUGGGUGGCUGUGCUUGAGAUGGAGAAAGGGAGGGCUGGCUCAUUCAAGCCUCUUCUGGACAGGCAUCUGAUCGAACCAAAGGAUGUUUUCUGGCAUCUCAAGACACAACUGUCCCGGGGAGCUAGGUCUCCAUCUGGAGGUGGCUGUCGUGUACCUAAACGAAAGGCCACUGUUGCUCUGGCAGGGGCUCUGUAGCUCUUGGUUUUUCAGGGAGAAUCUGCAGAGACGAGACUCUGAGCAGCAUUAGUGUGUCCUCGAGAACUGGAGAUGGGGAAAACAGUUAGUUUUCCUAAUGCAACCAUGUGCUAUGGGGAUCUCUCCUCCCCCCCUCCCCCCCCCCCCGAAUAAUCACUGCUGUAAAAGUGACAGUCAAACCAGCACUGGAAGUGGCAUGGCUGUGUCUCGAAUGUGCUCCAUGGACGAGUAAAGAUAUGGCUCUUUGAACUGCAACUCCCCCUGGCAUUGGAGAGUCCAACUGGGUUCUCUCCUUGCACGUCCUCCCCAGUAAGAAAGGUUCUGCUGGCCAGGCAAGGGCCACACCACCCCGUUAUCCCGUGGGUUUGUACGGGUGUCACUGAAGGGCUGAGCUGCCUUGUUUGCAGUGGGGGGUUUGCCCCAAUUCCAGCCACCUGUGGCUACCAAUUGGUGUAGCAGCACCAGGCACUUGCCCUUGCUGGAGGCUGGGGUGGGGUGUACUAGUGCCAAUGGAAGCUGGUAGCAGUUGGCCUGUCUACAAGAGGAAUUUGCAGGCAGUGCAGAUGAACUGGGGGCAAAUCUAGUGUGCACAGGUCCUUCGUUAACUGCUCUGAUGCACAAGGGAGACUAGAAUCCAGCUUCCCCCCCCUCCCCCCCCCCCCCGGCAGCACUGGUGGUCAGAUCCAACCUGGGUCACAAGGUGUUGUGUGGGUUGAAUUGACAGAGGUGAGGUAAAUUGGAUCAAGCCAGCGACCAGCUGCCAAUACUCUAGACAAGGCCAGCUGUAUAUUAGUGUGUGCUAAGUGGGCAGAGUUAAGGGUAGAUUGAGCUAGUUAACACCAUCUAAAAACCAGAUUGCUAAAUCCUCAUCUAGACAAAGCCAAAAUGGAAGAAGCAAGACUCCGGUCAGGUCUAUGCUAAGUACUUCUGCUGGCUUAGCUUUGCCACGAGAAACCUCAAGCGUUGAAGCAGUGAUAAUAACAAAGUAGUCGCUUUCACCGAGUGUUGGUUGCCCUAUCUCUACCCACACGUCUCCCCCUAAGCCAAGAAUAGAACCAGGAUUCCUGAGCACCAGAAGUCAACUGCUGCCUACGAAAUGAUGGUGUAACCCGUGCCCAGCUUUGAAAAUCUGCAGCUGUCGGUGAGGAGACCUACCUGUGCCAGGCCAUGGCGUAACAUCCUUCCAGCACGAGGCAACUGAUACUCUGGGGUGGCAGUUGUUUUGUUUUAACCGAUCCCGUGACUUUAAGAAUGGCCCAGUCAAAAUCAGGGCAUUGGCAGCUUUGCCAACUCUUCCAAUUCGUUUUUGGGCUUGCCGAAAAGAAAACAUGGCUGGAAUCCAUGUUCUGGUCUGGUGCCGCUGCCAUUUAAGCCUAUAUUAAAACCGGUGCAUGAAUGUAACCUGACAAGCUCACCCGGCACUCGUGGGGGAAGAACCCCCAUGCCGCCGGGGUAAUAGACAAGCUUCGCCAGGGUGUGAGAGGAUCCAGGAAAAGCACCUGCUCCCACUUGUGCGACUGAGCCUAACUCAGGGGCCUGGCCCGCGGUUGUGACGAUCCCGGCUGGGUCUGAUGCGUGCCCUUUGGCUGCUGUGGUUUAUCAGGCUUACGACUCUGUGUUGAAGGAAGAGACUCAAAGUGUCUAGCGAGUGACUCAACUCAGAGGAGGGCUAGGAGCACGGAAAACGGGCAGGAGGAAAACUUUGCUGGGGGUGUGGGCUGGGCUCGCUGCUUUGACUGAUGUUUCUCCAGGGAUCCUAUGGGAGGUAGGCGGGGGCCUGAUUCUAACAGAGGUGGCCUCUGAUUUGCAAAUGAAGCAUGCAGGGCAUCUGCCCCAGGCGGAGGCAAUGGGGGCCAGGUUUGUACUGCGGCACGUGGCUUCAGUCUGGUUGAAAUUCAUUGCACCGGGCCGACAGCUGGGCGGUUGGGCUCUAUGCAGGUGACGCAGGGAGCUCUUCCUUCUCUGCUCCAAAGGUGCAUGCUACCCUCAGUCCCCAUGGGGCUGCAGACAGCUGCCUUGUAAGUGUCAGUCGCUGGGCCCCCAACAUGACAGAGGAAGGCUUCCAUUGGCUGACGGGAGCAGUCAGGAUCCGCAUUGGCCCUAAUGCCCCAUGGGCAAGGCUAUAUUUACGUAGAGCUUCCCCCACCCUGGAGCUCUGCAUGGGCAGGGUGUGGCUGUGGAUACCCCCAGGGGGCUUUGUCUCAGCGACUCCCUUGAGCUCCCAGAAGCUGUCUGGCCACAGCCGGGCGCCCCCCUUCUCCUUAGCAUGCAGCACGGGUCCCUUGGCAUGGUCCUGCUCCUUUGGUCCCUUGGGGCAGGUUGCUGCGCACACUGCAGGAUUUUCUACAGCUAGGCGAUGGGAUGCAGACGUUGCUGAGCAGCCCCAUGGAUCUGAGCAGCCAGGAAUCCGGGCAGGGGAGAACAACAGCCAGGGACUCAGCAGGGCUGGAAGGAAGAGGCAGUGCUGGGUGGGGAAGAGAAGAGCUGUGAUUUUGAUUUUGUUGUGGAAGGCUUGGAAGAUCUGGGCCCUGCUUGGUCUAAAUGGGCCCUGCCCAUCCUCCGGUGCAAAUGACCAGGCAGUGCUGGGUGAAUGAUGUCGGCCCACCUCUCUAAUGAUCCUCAGGGCGGCCGGGCAGAAAAUACCAACGGGCGUGACCAUGUGACUUCAGAAUCCUUGGACACUUCUGCUGCCUGCAAGGGCCAUGUCAGUCACACCAAACCUGGAUGUUCACUUCCUUGGUGGGCAAGGAUGGAAAGAGGAACCUACUGGAGAACCUAGAGCGAGGGCUGGGGGCACUUUCUCUGCAUGGUCUUAGCUCCAUGGUCCAAUGGCCGGCCAUGUCGUCUCUUGAGUUACGCUGGUGGAACACCGUGAAUUGUACUGGUGUAGCUGAGAUCAGAUUCUGGCCCGAAGGGAGGAGACCUGCUGCUUUGCAUUUUCUAAGCAUCCUACAGCAAAGGACACUGGCUGGACCCCCAAGUCAAGGAGAAGAUGGGUGGAGCUUAGUGAUUAUGUGCUGCAUGCCAGACAUCAGACUAGCUCUCAGCCUGCAAGUGUCCUGUGGAUACUGCAUGGAACUGAGACCUGGGUUCUAAUUAUGUGUCUGCUACUGACUUGCUUGUGACCUGGGGCCAGUCACUUCCCCACUCUGAGCCUCAGUUUCCCCACCCUCGUGCAUUUAUCUUAUUACACUGUGUGCUUUUCAGGGUGUAUGCCCUGCGGCCUGAAACCCUAGCGUAUAGGGAGCUCGGUGU
Chelonia mydas (Green sea turtle) is the source of this 8676-nucleotide RNA transcript. It is a transcript of the gene named E2F transcription factor 2, with no coding region annotated. The record is from RefSeq and is a predicted model, not a curated record. Lineage: Eukaryota; Metazoa; Chordata; Testudines; Cheloniidae. The transcript is spliced from 9 exons.